AGCCUGCUUACCCUGCCUCACCUGUUCUUUCCUGCAGAAACCACAACAAAGACUCUUGUUCAUAUAUUCCCCUGUGCCUCUUGACCAACCCUGGUGCUUCUCCAUGUAGCCCUUCAUGGUGUGCUGUGCCUCCUAUUUCUAGGGAUCUAUGAGAAUAAAGACUUAUAUCUGCAUGACAGUCAUUUCUGUGUCUGUGUAUCUUACCACAUCUCAGAAGAACAUAUCCCAGAUACCCUUAAAAAAGGUUCCUAGAAGGAAAACCCAAGGAAGUGGAGACCCUUCUGAGACUGUGACCCACUGGAGUUUCUCUCUCUCUCAAAUGAGUCUAUACUAAGCCUCCAGCAUUUCACCAAAGUGACCAUUUAAGACCUCCAAUCUCUUUAGGGCUCUAGCAGUGUCUUCUGCUCCAGGUAAGCAGGUUUUGGUGUUUUGGGAUGCACAUGUCUCUUCCAGAUUUCCUGGUGGUUUUUUUUUGGAUGCACCUGUCUCUUCCAGAUUUCUUGGUGGCAAUCUGGCCUAAGACUUCCAUCUUCUGAUAGUCUAGGAAGAAUCACUGAUUCUUAAUUAGUCCAGCUUUUUUUAUUCUAAGAAUAAAAGCAAUGACACCUAUUUUAAGUUCUUUACUUGUUGGAGCUGAAACUGGAAGAUGGUGUUUCUUUUCUUUCAUGCUUAUGUGGUAUCUAUCCUAUUAGAUAUGGCCAAGAAACAUGUGUCAGAUGAAUGAAUAAGUUAAUGAGAAAUCAGAUGUGAUCACUCUAUAGCAGAUGGCCCAUAAGCCUUUGUCAAGUGAAAGAACAAAGGAAUGAUCCAUAUGGGAUUAUCUUAAAAUAGAUGGUCCGUAACCAUGUCAUGCUUAUGAUUUAUGAAUGAAUGAAUGAUUCAGAUGUGAUUAUCUGGUCCAUAAACCUUUGUCAGAUGAAUAAUGAAUGAGUGAGUGUGUGAGAUAUGAUUACAAGUUUUUCCAGACAGGCACCCACAUUGUUCAUCUCAAAUCUAAGGCAGCCAAGAUGCUCCAAGGUCUCAAAUCCAGUCCAUCUUACUUCACUCCAAAUCACCUAGCAUUCCCUGACACACAGUGCUCACCCUUUCCAUAUUUUUUCCCCAGGAGCUCUGAAACAGUCCUAAACUACUUCUGCCUCAAAUGAUUAGGUCUCUGCUUUUUCACACAGGUCUGGAAUGCAGAAGGAAAAAAAAAAAAACACUUAGUUUUCCUAUUCCCCAAAUAUCAUACACAUAAUCUCAUCCCAAAUUAUGGAGAUGUUGUGGACCUUAUCAUCUUAAUCAUUCUUAAUCAAUCAAUCACCUUAUCAUUCUUUUCCUUAGGCACAACCUUUAACAAAAUUUGAGGUCUAAACCGAUGAAACAACAACUGCAAACUUUAGAGCCUUGUGCUUUGAAGGCAAUGCUCACUGUUCUCUUUUACCUGAAUAACAAGGUCCAACUGCACUGUCCAUGCUUUAUUUUAGGCAGACAGAACUCUCUUGUAGAGUUUCAAGGAGCCUGGGUACAUGGGGCAGAGAGGUGGUCUGUGACAGGGUCACAAGUCCCAGCUCAAGGCAGAGUCCCUGGGGUCACACACUGGCUCUGCUGCUUCUAGCCACAGAGCUGAGCCUCAGUUUCCUCAUCUAUGAAACAGGCUCAUGUUGAAAAUCCACCUCCAAGAGUGAUGAGGGGAUUCCAUUGAUAGUCCAUGUGAAGUGCUCACAGCCUGUGGCCUGGCACCUGGUAAAUGCCCCAAGUUGACACUCAAUGAGGGUGAGUGUCCUAGUGGCAGGGACGGUGACAACUCAGGGCACACGCUCACUACUUGCUGGAAAGGACUCCUUAUGCAGAUUUUCUCAUCCAUUCACUCCUAGGAUGAUGUGUUCACACCAGCCUCUUUGGUUUUGCUGCACAGGACAACACCAUAUUUAUAAGCAGUCUCCUAAUGUUGAUUGCGGUAGGUGGGAUAACUCUAUUAUUAUUAUCAUGUCUUUUUUUUUUUUUUUUUUUAGAGAGAGGAAUAUUGAAGUGUUUAGGGGUGGAAUUUUAUAAUAUCCAUCGUUACUUGGAAUGAACUUCAGGAAAAAAAAAAAUACAACAAAAUAUUACCACAACAGGCAUUCCCAUCAUGGCUUGGUGGUAACAAAUCUGACCAGUUCUAUGAGGACACAGGUUCGAUCCCUGGCCUUGCUCAAUUGGGUCAAGGAUCCGGCAUUGCUGUGAGCUGUGGUGUAGGUCACAGACAUGGCUUGUACCCGGUGCUGCUGUGGCAGUGGUGUAGACCAGCAGCUGUAGCUCUGAUUCAACCCCUAGCCUGGGAGUGUCCACAUGCUGUGGGUGUAUCCCUAAAAAGACAAAAAAAAAAAAAAAGAACAUAAUUUUUUCAAGCAAAAAUAUUGUAAAGUGAGCAGAAAACUCACUCUCCAUAAUGUGGUCUUUUAAAGACACAUCUGAAGCAUGCCCCCCACCAGCCACUACUUUGCCUGAAUGAUACCCAGGAGUGUACAUAGACACAUCUCUGUAGUACAGAGCAACAAUAAUCACUAAAGACGCUCUGUGCUUUAUGGACCUUAUUGGGAAAACUGGACCCAAACACCCUCCUAGCAUAUAAAGUGGUGGAGAGGAUCAAAGAAUAAGGUACAACUUUAAAAACCUUGAGCUUUCAACCAAAAAUUCUCUAUUACGAUAUUAUUCUAUUCACAGAAACCUCCAACCACUAAAAUGACCAACACCUUACCCUCCAAGGAACUUAUGUUCUUUAUCACAACUGAUUGGGGUCAGCAUUUCCCACCCAAGGCACAGGCUCUGUCCAACCUUAGGACGUCCUUCUCUUCUCAUGGGCUGCAUGGUGCCCGGCUAUUUAGGCAGCACUGCUUCUGCUCAUGCUAAUUAGCAUUUUACUUUACAAAUUGCAUCUGGACUGGAGAAACUACAAAUAGGUAAUAAAAACCAAAGCUUUGGGCCUAUCUCUGGUGGGAUCUUGAAGUUCAGCCUUGAGUGUUGUUCAAAGAGAUAACUGGUUCCCUGGGCACGCUCUGAGGGUGGACUGUCUCUUUGCAUCUGAGCUAUGUGAUGCAGUAAAGACCCCACUGCAGGAAAACACCCGUGAUUGCCCUGCUGGGCAGAGGGGUGUCUGCCCAACAGGGUUCUAAGUCAGCCUGUGCCAAAUAUGACUUGUGAUGGCCAUUCUGAGUCACAAGGACCUUCUGAUGGGGGCGUAUUACAGUAUAUCAUUACCAGCCUCCAGCUGUGCAGCUGGAAGGGCUCCUGCCAUGAAGUCAGCCCCUGGAUAUGGGAAACAUAUGUACUCAAAAAUAUCAGCCAGGAAAAACUACUCUUUUCCCUGAUCUGAGAAUCAGAUUCUUGUUUUGCGAACUCACCGGGUUUCCUUUCUAUUUUGUUUUCUUGUUACAGCUGCACCUGCAGCAGAUGGAAGUUCCUGGGCUAGGAGUCAAAUUAGAGCUGCAGGGCUACACCCCAACCAUGGCAACACCAGAUCCUUAACCCACUGAGUGAGGCCAGGGAUCAAACCCAUGUCUUCACGGACACUAUGUUGGGUCUUUAACCCGCUGAGCCACAAUGGGAUCUCCUGCCAAAUUUAAAGAGAAAUCAAGUUGAUGAAGUGUCAGGACUUUCAAUCCUGAUGGUGGAGCUCUGACCUCUGAACCUGUUCACCGGUACC
RNAcentral lists this long non-coding RNA (3664 nucleotides) under Sus scrofa (pig). RNAcentral's name for it is "lncRNA (ENSSSCG00035057341.1)". Lineage: Eukaryota; Metazoa; Chordata; Mammalia; Artiodactyla; Suidae. The record is from RNAcentral.